GACGAACGCUGGCGGCGUGCUUAACACAUGCAAGUCGAACGGUGAAGCGCCUUCCUUUUUGGUGGGUGUGGAUGAGUGGCGAACGGGUGAGUAACACGUGAGUAACCUGCCCCCUUCUUCUGGAUAACCGCAUGAAAGUGUGGCUAAUACGGGAUAUUCUGGGUCUGUCGCAUGAUGGGUCUGGGAAAGAUAUUGUUUCGGUGGGGGAUGGGCUCGCGGCCUAUCAGCUUGUUGGUGGGGUGAUGGCCUACCAAGGCGGUGACGGGUAGCCGGCCUGAGAGGGUGGACGGCCCCACUGGGACUGAGACACGGCCCAGACUCCUACGGGAGGCAGCAGUGGGGAAUAUUGCACAAUGGGCGCAAGCCUGAUGCAGCGACGCCGCGUGAGGGAUGGAGGCCGUCGGGUUGUGAACCUCUUUCGCCAGUGAAGCAGGCCUGCCUCGUUUGUGGGUGGGUUGACGGUAGCUGGAUAAGAAGCGCCGGCUAACUACGUG
RNAcentral lists this ribosomal RNA (494 nucleotides) under uncultured bacterium. RNAcentral's name for it is "partial 16S ribosomal RNA". It matches the Rfam family "Bacterial small subunit ribosomal RNA", at positions 28 to 507 of the family's 1533-position model. The record is from RNAcentral.